CUCAAAAAUGGGCAAGAAGGAAAUGUGUAUAGGGGACAUAAAGAGGAUAAAAAGAAGCGAGAUCGAGACCGGGUGGAGAAUGAGGCAGAAAAAGACCUCCAGUGUCACGCCCCUGUGAGAUUAGACUUGCCCCCUGAGAAGCCUCUCACAAGCUCUUUAGCCAAACAAGAAGAAGUAGAACAGACACCCCUUCAAGAAGCUUUGAAUCAACUGAUGAGACAAUUGCAGAGAAAAGAUCCAAGUGCUUUCUUUUCAUUUCCUGUGACUGAUUUUAUUGCUCCUGGCUACUCCAUGAUCAUUAAACACCCAAUGGAUUUUAGUACCAUGAAAGAAAAGAUCAAGAACAAUGACUAUCAGUCCAUAGAAGAACUAAAGGAUAACUUCAAACUAAUGUGUACUAAUGCCAUGAUUUACAAUAAACCAGAGACCAUUUAUUAUAAAGCUGCAAAGAAGCUGUUGCACUCAGGGAUGAAAAUUCUUAGCCAGGAAAGAAUUCAGAGCCUGAAGCAGAGCAUAGACUUCAUGGCUGACUUGCAGAAAACUCGAAAGCAGAAAGAUGGAACAGACACCUCACAGAGUGGGGAGGACGGAGGCUGCUGGCAGAGAGAGAGAGAGGACUCUGGAGAUGCCGAAGCACAUGCCUUCAAGAGUCCCAGCAAAGAAAAUAAAAA
This 671-nucleotide small RNA is filed under the name Pongo abelii (Sumatran orangutan). RNAcentral's name for it is "processed transcript". Lineage: Eukaryota; Metazoa; Chordata; Mammalia; Primates; Hominidae. The record is from RNAcentral.